Molecule: ribosomal RNA, 285 nt
Filed under: uncultured bacterium
Lineage: Bacteria
Description: partial 16S ribosomal RNA
Rfam family: Bacterial small subunit ribosomal RNA
Source: RNAcentral
GAUCCUGGCUCAGGAUGAACGCUAGCGACAGGCUUAACACAUGCAAGUCGAGGGGCAGCACGGUGUAGCAAUACACCGGUGGCGACCGGCGCACGGGUGAGUAACACGUGUGCAACCAACCCCGUACCGGGAGAUAACCCGCGGAAACGUGGACUAACACCCCAUAACACCUUUCCCCUGCAUGGGGGGAGGGUUUAAAACCCCGGUUACGGUACGGGACGGGCGACGCGCGACAUUAGGUAGUUGGCGGGGUAACGGGCCCACCAAGCCGACGAUGUCUAGGGG